Molecule: ribosomal RNA, 251 nt
Filed under: uncultured prokaryote
Description: partial 16S rRNA
Rfam family: Bacterial small subunit ribosomal RNA
Source: RNAcentral
ACGGAGGAUCCAAGCGUUAUCCGGAUUUAUUGGGCUUAAAGGGCGCGUAGGCGGAUUGACAAGUCUGUGGUGAAAGUCCACAGCUCAACUCCAGAUCUGCCGUGGAUACUGGCAGACUAGAGUGAGGUAGAGGAGACUGGAAUGUGUGAUGUAGCGGUGGAAUGCGCAGAUAUCACGAGGAACACCGAUGGCGAAGGCAGGUCUCUGGGAAUUAACUGACGCUGAGGAGCGAAAGCAUGGGGAGCGAACAG